Molecule: ribosomal RNA, 292 nt
Filed under: uncultured microorganism
Description: partial 16S ribosomal RNA
Rfam family: Bacterial small subunit ribosomal RNA
Source: RNAcentral
GUGCCAGCAGCUGCGGUAAUACGUAGGGUGCAAGCGUUAAUCGGAAUUACUGGGCGUAAAGCGUGCGCAGGCGGUUUUGUAAGUCAGAUGUGAAAUCCCCGAGCUCAACUUGGGAACUGCGUUUGAAACUACAAGACUAGAAUAUGUCAGAGGGGGGUAGAAUUCCACGUGUAGCAGUGAAAUGCGUAGAGAUGUGGAGGAAUACCAAUGGCGAAGGCAGCCCCCUGGGAUAAUAUUGACGCUCAUGCACGAAAGCGUGGGGAGCGAACAGGAUUAGAUACCCUGGUAGUCC